CCGAAACCUGAGGGACGGAGGUCAGACUCCGGGGUCUCGGGAACCCGGAGACGAGGGAGGACGCCGUAUUCUUUAAGAGGGAGUAUACGUUUCCUCGCCAUUUAUCCAAUGGAGAUUCCUCUUCCCUACUUAACAGGAACAGGGAAAGCGUGUCCCCCAACGGUACGGCUGCCCCGCCUCUUCCUGGGGGCCCGCACGUGUUACAGGAAGUGGGUGAGGGUAAUAUGGAGGAGCUUCCGGCAGGCCCCGGCGGCUGAAAGCCGGGGCAGAAGUGCUGGUCUGGGUCGGGAUUCCGGGCUCGGUCCCGCCGAGGCGGCGACUGCGGUAGGAGGGAGGAGGUUUUGGACGCGCUGGCUUCCCGCCGCUGUGCAUUGCAGCAUUAUUUCAGUUCAAAAUGAACUAUAUGCCUGGCACCGCCAGCCUCAUCGAGGACAUUGACAGUGAGUAGUUCAUCUCCUCCCGGUGGAACCUGGGGUGAGACCCUUCCUCUCGGGCGAGCGCUUCUUCCGAAGAAGCUUGUAGAAUGAGUCCCGGGCGGGGCCGGUGUGUUCUGAGCUCAAUCCGGGCGUUCCGCGUCGAUGUCCUCCACAGCUGCGGUACACACGGCUUGCCCACCUAGUAGCCUGCUGCUACUUCUGCCCCUCGCAGCCUCCGCCAGCCCUCUAGCUGGUGAGCCCCAAGCGAUGGAACUCAUUCUUGCUUCCGUGGGUCGCGGCAGCAGAGGCCCGAACACGAAAGAAGCCCGGGGGGGGGCUUCUCCCCCGUCCACUCCUACCUGCAGUAUUUCGAAGUAUCAGCGUGUUACCGGUGGAUGGAUCGGAAUACCUAGAGAGAGGAUUCAUUAAAAAGCGAAAAUAUUAAGACAGCGGCAGUUGGACUUAAUUGGCAGUAAACAAAAGCACUUGGUUCUGCUUCGAGAUGGAAGGACGCUUAUAGGCUUUUUAAGAAGCAUUGAUCAAUUUGCAAACUUAGUGCUACAUCAGACUGUGGAGCGUAUUCAUGUGGGCAAAAAAUACGGUGAUAUUCCUCGAGGGAUUUUUGUGGUCAGAGGAGAAAAUGUGGUCCUACUAGGAGAAAUAGACUUGGAAAAGGAGAGUGACACACCCCUCCAGCAAGUAUCCAUUGAAGAAAUUCUAGAAGAGCAAAGGGUGGAACAGCAGACCAAGCUGGAAGCAGAGAAGUUGAAAGUGCAGGCCCUGAAGGACCGAGGUCUUUCCAUUCCUCGAGCAGAUACUCUUGAUGAGUACUAAGUCUUUUGCCCAGAGGCUGUUGGCUCUUGAAGAGUAGGGGCUGUCGCUGAGUGAAAGUGACAUCCUGGCCACCUCACGCAUUUGAUCAGAGACUGUAGAGUUUUGAAAAGUCACUUUUAUUUUUAAUUAUUUUACAUAUGCAACAUGAAGAAAUCGUGUAGGUGGGUUUUUUUUUAAAAAAAAUAACAAAAUCACUGUUUAAAGAAACAGUGGCAUGGACUCCUUCACACGUCACUGUGGCACCAGCAACUACUUCUUUAUAUUGUUCUUCGUAUCCCAAAUUAGAGUUUACAGGGACAGUCUUCAUUUACUUGUAA
RNAcentral lists this small RNA (1567 nucleotides) under Pongo abelii (Sumatran orangutan). RNAcentral describes it as "processed transcript". Lineage: Eukaryota; Metazoa; Chordata; Mammalia; Primates; Hominidae. The record is from RNAcentral.